RNAcentral lists this ribosomal RNA (454 nucleotides) under Theileria orientalis. RNAcentral's name for it is "SSU rRNA". It matches the Rfam family "Eukaryotic small subunit ribosomal RNA", at positions 537 to 1028 of the family's 1831-position model. Lineage: Eukaryota; Apicomplexa; Aconoidasida; Piroplasmida; Theileriidae. The record is from RNAcentral.
CAGAGUAUCAAUUGGAGGGCAAGUCUGGUGCCAGCAGCCGCGGUAAUUCCAGCUCCAAUAGCGUAUAUUAAAAUUGUUGCAGUUAAAAAGCUCGUAGUUGAAUUUCUGCUGCAUUACAUAUCUCUUGUUUGAGUUUGUUUUUGUGGCUUAUUUCGGUUUGAUUUUUUCUUUCCGGAUGAUUACUUUGAGAAAAUUAGAGUGCUCAAAGCAGGCUUUUGCCUUGAAUAGUUUAGCAUGGAAUAAUAAAGUAGGACUUUGGUUCUAUUUUGUUGGUUUUAGGUACCAAAGUAAUGGUUAAUAGGAACAGUUGGGGGCAUUCGUAUUUAACUGUCAGAGGUGAAAUUCUUAGAUUUGUUAAAGACGAACUACUGCGAAAGCAUUUGCCAAGGAUGUUUUCAUUAAUCAAGAACGAAAGUUAGGGGAUCGAAGACGAUCAGAUACCGUCGUAGUCCUA